This 514-nucleotide ribosomal RNA is filed under the name uncultured bacterium. Its description in RNAcentral is "partial 16S ribosomal RNA". It matches the Rfam family "Bacterial small subunit ribosomal RNA", at positions 28 to 523 of the family's 1533-position model. The record is from RNAcentral.
GAUGAACGCUGGCGGCGUGCCUAAUACAUGCAAGUCGAGCGAAUGGAUUAAGAGCUUGCUCUUAUGAAGUUAGCGGCGGACGGGUGAGUAACACGUGGGUAACCUGCCCAUAAGACUGGGAUAACUCCGGGAAACCGGAGCUAAUACCAGAUACGUUCUUUUCUCGCAUGAGAGAAGAUGGAAAGAUGGUUUCGGCUAUCACUUACAGAUGGGCCCGCGGCGCAUUAGCUAGUUGGUGAGGUAAUGGCUCACCAAGGCGACGAUGCGUAGCCGACCUGAGAGGGUGAUCGGCCACACUGAGACUGAGACACGGCCCAGACUCCUACGGGAGGCAGCAGUAGGGAAUCUUCCGCAAUGGACGAAAGUCUGACGGAGCAACGCCGCGUGAACGAUGAAGGCCUUCGGGUCGUAAAGUUCUGUUGUUAGGGAAGAACAAGUACCAGAGUAACUGCUGGUACCUUGACGGUACCUAACCAGAAAGCCACGGCUAACUACGUGCCAGCCGCCGCCGUAA